RNAcentral lists this ribosomal RNA (231 nucleotides) under uncultured bacterium. RNAcentral's name for it is "partial 16S ribosomal RNA". It matches the Rfam family "Bacterial small subunit ribosomal RNA", at positions 15 to 240 of the family's 1533-position model. The record is from RNAcentral.
GAUCCUGGCUCGGGAUGAACGCUAGCGACAGGCUUAACACAUGCAAGUCGAGGGGCAGCGGGGUGUAGCAAUACACCGCCGGCGACCGGCGCACGGGUGAGUAACGCGUAUGCAACUUGCCUAUCAGAGGGGGAUAACCCGGCGAAAGUCGGACUAAUACCGCAUGAAGCAGGGAUCCCGCAUGGGAAUAUUUGCUAAAGAUUCAUCGCUGAUAGAUAGGCAUGCGUUCCA